This 21-nucleotide non-coding RNA is filed under the name Arabidopsis thaliana (thale cress). Lineage: Eukaryota; Viridiplantae; Streptophyta; Magnoliopsida; Brassicales; Brassicaceae. The record is from RNAcentral.
CCAAGCACGCUUAACUGCGGA